RNAcentral lists this non-coding RNA (194 nucleotides) under Chroococcidiopsis thermalis. The record is from RNAcentral. RNAcentral also lists the same sequence under 1 other name. Lineage: Bacteria; Bacillati; Cyanobacteriota; Cyanophyceae; Chroococcidiopsidales; Chroococcidiopsidaceae.
UUAAGAUAUCUAGGCACAAGUGAACUGUAAUAGCAUAGGGAAACAUCGGUGUAAGUCCGAGGCUGUGCCGCAGCUGUAAAUGAUUUUGUCGCUUGUCAUUUGUCACUUGUCAUUUGUUGCUCUAACUGCAAAUGAUAAAUGACUGAUGAACGAUGACGAAUAGUAAGCCAGAAUGCCUGUGCUGUUAUCCGCUC